This 266-nucleotide ribosomal RNA is filed under the name uncultured bacterium. Its description in RNAcentral is "partial 16S ribosomal RNA". It matches the Rfam family "Bacterial small subunit ribosomal RNA", at positions 793 to 1055 of the family's 1533-position model. The record is from RNAcentral.
GUCCUAGCCCUAAACGGUGCACGUUUGCUGUGAGAGGAAUCGACCCCUUUCGUGGCGAAGCUAACGCGUUAAACGUGCCGCCUGGGAAGUACGGUCGCAAGAUUAAAACUCAAAGAAAUUGACGGGGCCUGCACAAGCGGUGGAGUAUGUGGCUUAAUUCGAUGCAACGCGAAGAACCUUACCUGGCCUUGACAUGUAUCUAGUAGAAGGGUGAAAGCCUGACGAGGUAGCAAUACCAGGAUACACAGGUGCUGCAUGGCUGUCGU